ACAUCAGCAGCCGCGGUAAUACGGAGGGUGCAAGCGUUAAUCGGAAUUACUGGGCGUAAAGCGCACGCAGGCGGUCUGACAAGUCAGAUGUGAAAUCCCCGGGCUUAACCUGGGAACUGCAUUUGAAACUGUCAGGCUGGAGUCUUGUAGAGGGGGGUAGAAUUCCAGGUGUAGCGGUGAAAUGCGUAGAGAUCUGGAGGAAUACCGGUGGCGAAGGCGGCCCCCUGGACAAAGACUGACGCUCAGGUGCGAAAGCGUGGGGAGCAAACAGGAUUAGAUACCCCUGUAGUCCCUGUCUCUUAUAA
This 305-nucleotide ribosomal RNA is filed under the name uncultured bacterium. Its description in RNAcentral is "partial 16S ribosomal RNA". It matches the Rfam family "Bacterial small subunit ribosomal RNA", at positions 505 to 809 of the family's 1533-position model. The record is from RNAcentral.